RNAcentral lists this ribosomal RNA (484 nucleotides) under uncultured bacterium. RNAcentral describes it as "partial 16S ribosomal RNA". It matches the Rfam family "Bacterial small subunit ribosomal RNA", at positions 30 to 507 of the family's 1533-position model. The record is from RNAcentral.
AUUGAACGCUGGCGGCAGGCCUAACACAUGCAAGUCGAGCGGAUGAAGGGAGCUUGCUCCUGGAUUCAUCGGCGGACGGGUGAGUAAUGCCUAGGAAUCUGCCUGGUAGUGGGGGAUAACGUCCGGAAACGGGCGCUAAUACUGCAUACGUCCUGAGGGAGAAAGUGGAGGAUCUUCGGACCUCACGCUAUCAUAUUAGCCUAGGUCGGAUUAGCUAGUUGGUGGGGUAAAGGCCUACCAAGGCUACGAUCCGUAACUGGUCUGAGAGGAUGAUCAGUCACACUGGAACUGAGAAAGGGUAGACACUCUGACGGGAGGACGCAGUGGGGAAUACUGGACGAGGGGCGAAAGGCUGAUCCAGGAAUGCCGCGUGUGGGAAGAAGGACUUAGGAUUGGAAAGCACUUUAAGUUGGGAGGAAGGGCAGUAAGUUAAUACCUUGCUGUUUUGACGUUACCAACAGAAUAAGCUCCGGCUAACUUCGUG